CCAAAAAGAGGUGAAUUUUUGUUAAUAAUUUUAUUGGGGCACUCCUUCUUCUGUAAGUUUAACUCUAGCUAAAAAUAUAAAACAUAUUUAAUGUAUAUAAAAUCACAGAAUUAAUUUCAAGCUAUUUAGUACAAAAAAUUUUUAAAACUAGUUAACCAAGUAAAAGUAAAUAAAUGAUCAAUUAGGUGCCAGCAUUCGCGGUUACACCUAUAUUUGUUAUAUUAUUCAUGGCCUAGAGCCCUAUAACUAAACAUAAAAGCUUUAGAAGUAAAAUUCCAUUUACUUUUUAAAUAAAUUAAAAUAUCUUAAAAAUUAAAUAAUAAACAGGGAUUAGAUACCCCUCUAUAUAAAAUAAAUUACCACCUAGGGUAGUAGAUGUUAUAUAACUUUAAACCCAAAGAAUUUGGCGGCAAUCAACCUUUCCAGAGAGACCUGUUUAUUUAUUUGAUAACCCACAUUAGAUCUUACUUCUACUAAAACUUGCAUACCGUCAUCUAAAUUUUAUCCUAAGAUAAAUAUUUUGAAGGUAACAAAAAUGUUAGAUCAACGCGCAGUAAAUAUAAAAGCUUUUAAUGGGUCUCAAUUUAAAUCAAAUAGAAAAAGCUUGAAUAGACUUUAUAAAGAGAAUUUGGGUGUAAUAUAUUUUUAAAAAAAUAAUAUGACUAAGCCAUUGAUUGUGUACAUAUCGCCCGUCGCCCUCGACACGAGGUAAGUCGUAACAUAGUAGAAGUACUAGAAAGUGUUUCUUUACUUAA
Molecule: non-coding RNA, 755 nt
Filed under: Proasellus ortizi
Lineage: Eukaryota; Metazoa; Arthropoda; Malacostraca; Isopoda; Asellidae
Source: RNAcentral